UAGUGGCGAACGGGUGAGUAACACGUAGGGAACCUGCCCGCGCACCGGGAAUACGCUCUGGAAACGGAGAACAAAUCCCGAUGUACAGGAAGGAGGCAUCUUCUUUCUGUGAAACAUCCUUUAGGGGAUGGGGCGCGGAUGGACCUGCGGUGCAUUAGUUUGUUGGCGGGGUAAAGGCCCACCAAGACGAUGAUGCAUAGCCGGCCUGAGAGGGCGGACGGCCACAUUGGGACUGAGACACGGCCCAGACUCCUGCGGGAGGCAGCAGUGGGGAAUUUUGCGCAAUGGGGGAAACCCUGACGCAGCAACGCCGCGUGCGGGACGAAGGCCCUCGGGUUGUAAACCGCUUUCAGCAGGGAAGAUCCAAGACGGUACCUGCAGAAGAAGCUCCGGCUAACUACGUGCCAGCAGCCGCGGUAAUACGUAGGGGGCGAGCGUUAUCCGGAUUCAUUGGGCGUAAAGCGCGCGUAGGCGGCCGCCUAAGCGGGACCUCUAACCCCGGGGCUCAACCCCGGGCCGGGUCCCGGACUGGGCGGCUCGAGUGCGGUAGAGGAGAGCGGAAUUCCCGGUGUAGCGGUGGAAUGCGCAGAUAUCGGGAAGAACACCGAUGGCGAAGGCAGCUCUCUGGGCCGUCACUGACGCUGAGGCGCGAAAGCUGGGGGAGCGAACAGGAUUAGAUACCCUGGUAGUCCCAGCCGUAAACGAUGGGCGCUAGGUGUGGGGGGACGAUCCCUCUCGUGCCGCAGCCAUGGCAUUAAGCGCCCCGCCUGGGGAGUACGGCCGCAAGGCUAAACUUCAAAGGAAUUGACGGGGGCCCGCACAAGCAGCGGAGCAUGUGGCUUAAUUCGAAGCAACGCGAAGAACCUUACCCGGCCUUGAUAUCCUCCCGAAUAGAGAGUAAUGUCUUUAGCCCUUCGGGGCGGGAGAGACAGGUGGUGCAUGGUUGUCGUCAGCUCGUGUCGUGAGAUGUUGGGUUAAGUCCCGCAACGAGCGCAACCCCUGCCGUCAGUAGCCAGCAGGUAAAGCUGGGCACUCUGAUGGGACAGCCUGGGAUAACCAGGAGGAAGGCGGGGAUGACGUCAAAUCAUCAUGCCCCUUAUGGCCGGGGCUACACACGUGCUACAAUGCCGUAAACAGAGGGAAGCGAGACAGCGAUGUAGAGCAAAGCCCAAAAAUAACGCCUCAGUUCGGAUUGCAGCCUGCAACUCGGCUGCAUGAAGCCGGAAUCGCUAGUAAUCGCGAAUCAGAAUGUCGCGGUGAAUACGUUCCCGGGUCUUGUACUCACCGCCCGUCA
RNAcentral lists this ribosomal RNA (1294 nucleotides) under uncultured bacterium. RNAcentral describes it as "bacterial SSU rRNA". It matches the Rfam family "Bacterial small subunit ribosomal RNA", at positions 93 to 1399 of the family's 1533-position model. The record is from RNAcentral.